UAGCAGGAUUUGAAGAGAGUACGGGGUGUCCUUACCAUGGAGGGGCAGCUGACCAUGAGCUGUAAGAUUGUGAGGGGUUCAGGCAAGAAGUCCGAAACUUAUUGUCUCUCAAGGUUCUGAGAUGCCAGACAAGGCUGAAGACGGAAAAGGGAGUGAACACCACUGGAUAUAGCCAGAAUGCUUCUACCUCCAAACCCAGAAUCACCUUCUCACCCCCGGUAGCCUCACCGCCGGUAACGGUUAUCCGAACUCCACCUCAGCUCCCCAUCACCAAUACUCACGCUGUCCCUUGGAACUAUAACUUCCAAGUUUUCACUCAGGGAGCGUCAAGCAGUACAUCCGCUCCUAGUCUUGCCUCACCUCCGGCACCACCAAAACCAUGUUUCGCUCCUCACGAGCACUUCAGAAUGACUUAUGCUGGACCUGCUAGCAACACUACUCCCCAAACCAGUUCUAGGCCCGUUAUUGCAACAAAAUCCUCUCCACCUGAGCAAGAAGUCGAGUUUAUAACUCGAAGUGGGAGGUGUUACGGGAACGAGGAAAGAGAAAAGAGAAAAGGGAAAGUAAAGAUGGGAGAGUCAUCAAGAAACACGGAAGAGGAGGUUGAGAAAGCAGGGGAAGCAGAGCCUGUUGAGCAUAGAGAAGAUGAAGAACUGUUGCUCCAAAUAAUGAAGCAGAGCGAGUAUGACGUGGUGGAACAGUUGAGAAAGACACCCGCUCGGAUUUCGCUGUUAUCGCUGAUUUUGAGUUCGGAAGUGCACCGACAAGCCUUGCAGAGAAUCCUGGAUCAGGCCUUUGUCAACCCUGACAUUACUCCGGGGCAGUUUGAGAAGUUAGUGGGACAAAUCCAGGCAUCCAGCUCUGUAGCCUUCUCUGAAGAGGAGGUAGACCCUGCAGGCUUAGGGCAUAAUAAAGCUCUGCAUAUAACGGUAAAAUGUAAAGGCUGUAUAGUGGCCAAGGUCCUCAUCGAUAACGGAUCAGCCCUCAAUGUACUGCCUAGCGCUACCUUAGCCAGGCUGCCGGUCGACCAAUCAUAUAUACGUCAGAGUGCUAUGGUGGUAAGAGCCUUUGACGGUACCAGGAGAGAGGUACUGGGAGACAUUGACUUGCCAAUCCAAGUCGGUGCAUGCACUUUCAACGUCACGUUCCAGGUGAUGAACAUUGAGCCGGCUUACACUAUGCUGUUGGGAAGGCCGUGGAUCCAUUCUGCGAAUGCUGUUCCUUCGACUUUGCACCAGAAGAUCAAAUACAUUAAGGACGGCAAAAUCAUCACGGUGAAGGGCGAAGAGGCCAUACUAGUCACCAAGCCGCAAUCACUCCCUUAUGUGGAAGCAGCCGAGGAGUCAUUGGAAAGUUCUUUCCAGGCCCUUGAAUUGCAAGAUACUGGGAAGGAAGGGGCUAUGGCUAUGGUGGCCAAAGUGAUGUCGAGGAAUGGGUAUCAAGAAGGGAAAGGCUUGGGCACCGCCUUGCAAGGGAUCGUGGAACCCAUACCGGCUAUUCAGAAGGUGGGCCGUAGUGGUUUGGGAUAUGAGGAGGAUGCCCUCGUGGAUGGGCGAUUCUGGAUGAGGAAAAUACUUCGGGAUCAGAGGUUUGACCAGAAGAUGGGAAAGAUGAAAGUAGUCUCGAAAAUCACGGAGAUCUUCACCAAACCGGUCAUUCAACAUCCGGCAAGUACAGAAGAAUCACCUGAUGAUCCAUCCAUAGAUGUCAUCCAACUGGAUUCCUUGUAUGAGGCCCUAGUUUCGCCAAUGGCUGAGGAGCAGGAGCUUGACAACUGGACAACGGAGGAUAUCCCUGUACUCAAUCUCGAGUAAAGUACCUCUGGUUAUCUACACUUGAUCACUUUGUCCAUGGUGACAAGUGUAAUACUGUAAAUGGACCUUUUCUUAUGGCAUUAAUAUUAAUGAAUUGAUAGCGCAUUUUAAAUCCAAUACUCUCUUUCCUUUUUAAUUCCAUCCUUAUAACAUGUUCUAUUCUUUAUUCAUUCAGGACCAUUCAUCAAUUAACACCUAAUAAUCCAAUAGACUCAGAAAUUCCUCUGGUUAAUUUUGAAAUCCCCAUAACUGCCAUUACUUCAAGUGAUUCUGAGGAAGACCUUACAGAAGAAAGCAAUGAAAAAGAUGAACCCUCCCUCGUGCCUUGUGAAGACGAAACGCGCACGAUAAACUUAGGCACAGAAGAAGUAAAAAGAGAACUUAAGGUAGUGGAGAGUGAGGAAUUGGGAGAUAUGAUCAGUUUGCUCAGAGAAUUCCUGGACGUAUUUUCCUGGAGCUAUGAUGAUAUGGUGGGUUUGGACCCUCAGAUAGUAACGCACAAAAUUCCCUUAAUCCCAGGAACAAUUCCGGUGAAGCAGAAACUAAGGAGAAUGAAUCCCGACACACUGCUCAAGGUUCGGGAUGAAGUCAAGAAACAGUAUGACGCCGGAUUCUUGGAAGUGGUCAAGUAUCCCCAAUGGGUGGCUAAUGUCGUCCCAGUAAUGAAGAAAGACGGGAGAGUCAGGGUGUGUGUUGACUACAGGGACCUUAAUAAAGCUAGCUUGAAAGACGAUUUCCCUCUCCCCCACAUUGAUGUGUUAGUAGACAAUGCUGCGGGAUUGGGCAGGUGUUCGUGUAUUGAUGGGGCAUCAGGGUACAAUCAGAUCCCAAUGGACGAGGAAGACAAGGAUAAAACUGCUUUCAUCACCCAAUGGGGAGUAUUCUGCUAUCGGGUCAUGCCCUUCGGGUUGAAAAAUGCAGGGGCUACUUACCAGCGCGCAAUGGUCACAUUAUUCCACGAUAUGAUGCAUAAAGAAGUGGAGGUGUAUGUGGAUGAUAUGAUCAUCAAAUCCCGGGGAGAGGAGAGCCACGUUCAGGUGAUAAGGAGGGUGUUCGAAAGGCUCAGGAAAUACCAGUUGAAGCUGAACCCUGCUAAGUGCAUAUUCGGAGCUAGAUCGGGAAAACUGUUGGGAUUCAUAGUAAGCGAGAAAGGGAUAGAAGUGGAUCCAGACAAAGUUCGAGCUAUUCAAGAAAUGCCGUCCCCAAAAACAGAAAGGGAGGUGCGCAGUUUUCUAGGAAAGUUGAACUACAUUUCAAGAUUUAUUUCUAAUCUCACUGCCAAAGCUGAGCCUAUUUUCAGAUUACUCCGGAAGAACAACCCUACCCAAUGGGAUUCGGAUUGUCAAAAGGCUUUCGAGACAAUCAAGCAGUAUUUGUCAAACCCACCAGUAUUGGUCCCGCCUGUGGCAGGCAGGCCUCUGAUCCUGUACAUGGCAGUCCAACAGAGCUCUAUGGGAUGUGUUUUGGGACAGCAUGAUGAUACCGGCCGAAAAGAGAGGGCCAUUUAUUACCUGAGCAAGAAGUUCAAUGAUUGUGAGUCAAGGUACUCUUUCUUAGAAAAGACUUGCUGCGCGUUAGCCUGGACAGCAAAUCGCCUCAAGCACUACAUGUUGAAUCACAAGACAUGGCUUAUCUCCAGGAUGGAUCCUAUCAAGUAUGUAUUUGAAAGCCCAUUCGUGCCAGGAAGGAUAGCCAAGUGGCAGGUUAUACUCUCCCAAUAUGAUAUAGUCUACAUGACCCGGAAAGCGGUGAAAGGCAGCGUAAUUGCUGACCUCCUAGCAGAAAAUCCUAUCCAGGAUUAUGAAGCUCUGGAUUUUGAGUUCCCUGAUGAGCAUAUUAAUGAAGUAGAGGAGAGGCCCGCCGAUGUAUGGGAAAUGUAUUUUGAUGGAGCAGUCAAUUUAUCCGGAAACGGAAUCGGAGCUGUACUGAUAUCCCCUGAUGGGAAGCACUUCCCGAUAGCUGUCAAGUUGAGGUUUGACUGUACCAACAAUGUCGCAGAAUAUGAAGCUUGUGUAAUGGGUCUACAUGCCGCUAUAGAGAUGAAAAUCAGAAAGUUGGAGGUGUAUGGAGACUCGGCUCUGAUAAUUUAUCAGGUCAAGGGAGAAUGGCAAACCAAGGAUCCCAAGCUAAUUCCCUAUCAGAAGCACUUACUGGAGAUGAUCAAGGAAUUCGAAGAAAUCUCUUUCACUCAUCUUAGCAGGGACAAGAAUCAAUUUGCUGAUGCUUUAGCUACUCUAGCCGUUAUGGCCCAAAUGGAAGAAGGGCAGACAACUCAAGCAUUGAGGGUCAAAGCAAGGGAUGAGCCAGCUUAUUGCUUCAUGAUUGAAGAAGAGCCCGACGGAAAGCCUUGGUAUCAUGACAUCCUGGUCUACUGUAGAACCGGAGAAUUCCCUUCAGGGGCAAGCAAAAAUGAAAAGAAGAUGAUUCGGAGAUUAGCAUUGGGAUACUUCCCCAGUGGAGAAACCCUAUACAAGAGGAGCUCCAACGGCAAAUUACUGAGAUGUGUAGAUACGAAAGAAGCAAAGAGAAUCCUCUUCGAGACACAUGAGGGAAAUUGUGCGACCCAUGCCAAUGGACACAUAAUGGUUAAGCAAAUCAUGCGACGUGGGUAUUUUUGGACCACAAUGGAAAAGGAUUGCAUCGAGUAUUUCCGAAAGUGCCAUAAGUGUCAGAUUUAUGCCGAUCCGAUAAAUGUGCCACCUCACAAGCUGUUCAAUCUCGUCUCACCGUGGCCUUUUGCAAUGUGGGGCAUAGAUGUGAUUGGUCCCAUCAAUCCCAAGGCAUCCAAUGGGCACAGAUUCAUCCUUGUGGCCAUUGACUAUUUCUCCAAGUGGGUUGAAGCAAUGUCAUACGCCCACAUCACACAGAACACAUUUCUCAAAUUCUUCAGAAGCAAUAUCAUCUGCCGGCAUGGUCUCCCGAAUGAAAUUGUC
This 4747-nucleotide unclassified non-coding RNA is filed under the name Hevea brasiliensis (rubber tree). The record is from RNAcentral. Lineage: Eukaryota; Viridiplantae; Streptophyta; Magnoliopsida; Malpighiales; Euphorbiaceae.